CCUACGGGAGGCAGCAGUAGGGAAUCUUCGUCAAUGGGCGCAAGCCUGAACGAGCAAUGCCGCGUGAACGAGGAAGGUCUUCGGAUCGUAAAGUUCUGUUGAAGGGGAAAAAGAGCGGAGAGAGGAAAUGAACUCCGAUUGAUAUUACCCUUCGAGGAAGUCACGGCUAACUACGUGCCAGCAGCCGCGGUAAUACGUAGGUGGCGUGGGUUAUCCGGAUUGGUUGGGCGAAAAGGGUGCGUAGGCGGCCUGCUAAGUCUGGAGUGAAAGGUACCGGCCAAACCGGUACAGGCUCUGGAAACUGGCGGGCUAGAGAGCAGGAGAGGGCGGUGGAACUCGAUGUGUAGCGGUAAAAUGCGUAGAUAUAUGGAAGAACACCAGUGGCGAAGGCGGCCGCCUGGCCUGUUGACUGACGCUGAGGCACGAAAGCGUGGGGAGCAAAUAGGAUUAGAUACCCGGGUAUC
This 464-nucleotide ribosomal RNA is filed under the name uncultured bacterium. Its description in RNAcentral is "partial 16S ribosomal RNA". It matches the Rfam family "Bacterial small subunit ribosomal RNA", at positions 338 to 794 of the family's 1533-position model. The record is from RNAcentral.